RNAcentral lists this long non-coding RNA (6030 nucleotides) under Ananas comosus (pineapple). RNAcentral describes it as "long non-coding RNA (ACOM_LNC026415)". Lineage: Eukaryota; Viridiplantae; Streptophyta; Magnoliopsida; Poales; Bromeliaceae. The record is from RNAcentral.
CUCCUCUCAAUCUCCACAAUCCGCCGGGUAUUGGGUUCGCCUUUUUUAUCCGCUCCAUCCUCCUCUAUCUCCGAUCCGAAGUUCCGCCCUGCUCCCAGUUUCUACGCCAUCACCUAUCCCUUCCUACUGUCGCCACUUCCCCCAUGGACUCCCCUGCUCCAUCCCGAUCACCAUGGCUGACCUGUUCAUGCUCCCCGGCUCCCUACAAGGAAAAGCUAAGCUCCCAUUAUCACUUCAUCUCUUCUCUUUUUAUUCUUUCCUAAUUACUCUGAUUACCCUAACUCCUCCUACAUGGCAGAUGUAACACUCCCCCUCCCUUAAUCGGAUCCUUGUCCUCAAGGAUCGAAAGAAGGGAAUUGACUCUUAAGAACCCUGUGAUCUUCCCAUGUAGCGUGCUCGUCGGAAAGGUUCACCCAUUUUACCAACACUUCAGUCACAACCUUAUUAUCCUUUUGCACCAUCCUCCUCUCCAGGAUCUUCUCAGGCUCCGUCCGUAUCUCAUCGUCUUCUCGUAAGGUUGGCACGUUCGGUGAAGCCGGCACAGCUGCUGGGGGACUUUUCUUUAACAGCGACACAUGAAACACUGGGUGCACCCUCGACCCCUCAGGCAGUUGCAACUUGUAUGCGACUGGACCGAUGCGCUCCACAAUUUGGAAAGGUCCGUAAUACCUCGCAGCUAACUUCAAGUUCCUUCUUAUAGCCACAGUGGUUUGUCUAUAAGGUUGUAAUUUGAGGUAUACCCAAUCUCCUAUGGCAUAUUCUUUCUCCUUCCGAUGCCUGUCGACCUGUUGUUUCAUCCUACUACGUGCCACUUGUAGCCGAUCCCUUAGUUCACGAGUUAAGCCUUCCCUUUCCUUAGCCCAGUCUCUAACUUCCGGAGAUGUGCUAGAGGUAAUUGAGGUCACCAAAUAGUUGGGGGGAGGGUAUCCGUAUAGCGCUUCGUAUGGGGUCAUACCUAUCGAGGAGUGGAAACUCGUGUUGUACCACCAUUCUGCCAAAGCUAACCAGGAAUGCCAUUUUUUUGGAUGUUGGAAGCAAAGGCAUCUUAGAUAAGUUUCCAAGCAUCUAUUCACUCGUUCCGUUUGGCCGUCAGUCUCCGGAUGAUAAGCCGAACUCAUUUGCAAUUUAGUCCCCAUGGACUGAAAAAGCUCCUUCCAAAACUGACUUGUGAAUAUUUUGUCCCUAUCUGAGACUAUCCUCUUCGGGCAUCCGUGCAAUUUACAAAUGGUAUCCAUGAAAGUUCUCGCUACUCCUGGGGCUGAAAAAGGGUGCUUUAAGGACACGAAGUGGGCGUACUUUGUAAGCCUAUCGACCACGACCAUAAUCGUAUCUUUCCCUUCUGAUUUGGGUAGGGCUUCUAUGAAAUCCAUACUUACCUCUUCCCAGACUUGGUGCGGUAUAGGUAGUGGCUGCAGUAAGCCUGCAUGUGGAGUUCCAUCCACCUUGUUCUGAGCGCAUGUUGCACACCCUUUUACCCAUUCUUCGACUUCCUUCUUUAAUCCCGGCCAGAAAAAAUGUUGUUUAAUUCUGCGGUAAGUAUUCUGGAUACCCGAAUGGCCUCCCAAUGCGGAGUUGUGCAUUUGAUCGAUAACCUUCUUCCUCAGGUGCCCUGAUCCGCCAAUGUACAGCUUACCUUUAUACCUCAGCAAUUCGCUGCUGUACGAAUAAUUCCCUUGAUUAGCUGACUGUAAGGGAAGCUCACAGAUCAGCCUUUCGCACUGUGGAUCUCCCAAAUAACUCUCUGUCACUUCCUGCACCCAGCUCGGUAUCGCCGCUGUUAUAGCUAAAGUAACGCCCUCUUCUCCAGUCACUCUUGACAAGGCAUCGGCCGCUGCAUUAUCCUUUCCCUUCCUGUACUGGAUGGUGUAAUCAAAUCCCAUUAACUUCAUCAUUCCCUUUUGUUGCAUCGGGGUCGUCACCCUCUGUUCUAAUAGAUAUUUUAGACUUUCGUGGUCCGUCCUAACCACAAAGGUCCUCAUGCUCAGAUAGUGCUUCCACUUUUGCAAGGCCAUGAGUAUAGCUAGAAACUCCUUUUCAUAUGUCGACAAUCCCAAGUGUUUUCCUCCAAUUGCCUUGCUCAGAUAAGCAAUGGGUUUCUCGUCUUGAGACAAUACUGCCCCUAUCCCUGUGUCACACGCAUCCACUUCUAAGGUAAAAGAUCGAUCAAAAUUGGGCAUCGCUAAUACCGGAGCGGUAGUCAUAGCAGUUUUCAACUCUUCGAAGGCUAAUUGGGAUUCCUCGCUCCAACAAAACUGAUCUUUUCUUAGUAAGUCGGUUAAGGGUUUACUUAUCCUUCCAUAUCCUUGAAUGAACUUUCGGUAGUAUCCUGUUAAUCCUAAAAAUCCCCUAAGCUCUUUAACCGACUUAGGUGUUGGCCAAUUGAUCAUAGCCUCAAUUUUGGUCGGAUCUGUAGCUACGCCCUCUGCUGAAAUUAUGUGGCCUAAAUAUUCCACCUGAUCUUGCCCAAAGUAACACUUGCUCCGUUUAGCAUAUAAUUGAUUUCUCCGCAACUCUUCCAAUGUGAUCCGCAAGUGUUUCACGUGAUCCUCCAGACUUUUACUAUAGACCAAUAUAUCAUCAAAGAACACCAAAAUGAACUUCCUUAGAUAGGGUUCGAACGUACAAUUCAUAAUCGCCUGGAAAGUGGCAGGUGCGUUGGUGAGGCCAAAGGGCAUAACCCGAAACUCAUAAUGCCCUUGAUGAGUUCGGAAUGCUGUCUUUGGAACAUCGGCGGGGUCCAUCCUGAUUUGAUGAUAGCCGGAUCGAAGAUCUAUUUUGGAGAAGUGUUUCGAACCUCCCAGCUCGUCUAAUAAAUCAUCGAUGAUAGGUAUGGGGAAUUUAUCCUUUAUGGUAAAUUUGUUAAGUUGACGGUAAUCAAUACACAUCCUCCAACUUCCGUCUUUUUUCUUAACCAACAAAGCCGGUGAAGCGAAUGGGCUGGUACUCCUCUGUAUUAUUGAGUUAUUCAAUAGUUCCCUUAUUUGUUUCUCAAUCUCUUCUUUUUGCUCAUAAGAAUACCUAUACGGCCUUACGUUAAUGGGAGCCGUGUUGGGUUGUAGCAGAAUUUUGUGGUCCUCGACGCGGGCUGGUGGCAUCCCCUUCGGCUCCUCGAAAACAUCCUUAUAUUGCUCCAGAACCUGCUGAAUCCAGGGGUGGACGUUUACUGUGGCCUCAGUUUUGUCGGGCACCAAUUGGUGGCUCAACAGAUAGCACUCCCCCGUACCCAUCUCCUGGUUCCAUUGGGCUGCAGUGAUCAUUUUAAACUUGGCUCCUUCCUCAAUUCCCUUCAACUCCAAUUUCUGCCCGUCCUUCACGAUGGUAACAGAAUUUAACAGGAAAUCGAAAGUCACCUUCCCGUAAGACUUAAGCCAGUCAAUGCCCAGCACAAUGCUGACCCCUUCGAUUCGAAUUACCCGCAACUCCGUUACAAACCUUUGUCCCUGCAUAGUCCAUGAGAAUUCAGGACACUUAAGUUUGCUUAACAUCUUAUGUCCAUCGGCUAUGGUUACCACCAGAGGCGAGGCUGCUUCCAUCCUCGCUCCAAUUUCCUUGGCUACCCGUAAAUCGAUGAAACUAUGCGUGCUCCCGGUGUCGAUUAGAAGGGUGAGCGUUUUGUUCUUUGCUUCGCCCCGUAUCUUAAUGGUGUCUUGAGGCUUCUCCCCAUUUAGCACAUGGACUGAAACCCCGAUUUCCUGCGCUUCUUCACUAUCAGGUAUAGCCCCUGACCCUUGCUCUUCUCCGUCUACAACUCCUCCUUCUCCCGUUUCUUCUUGCAAACAAUCCUCAUCGUAGACUUCGAUAAUUUCCUCGGAAGCCUGUAAAGUAUUUAAGGAUUUAUUGUUGCAUACAUGUCCUGGAUGAUACUUGUCUCCGCACCUGAAGCACAGUCCUGCUGCUCUCCGUUGUUCUAUUAAUUGCCUGUUGGCCGGGUUCUGAAUUACGUGAUUUCUUUGUGAAGUUUGGUACGGGUUUUUUAAAUUUUCGCCAGCCUUAUUAAGCCCAGUUCCAGUGUUGCCUCUGUAGGGCGAGGAUGAUUGGUACGGACCUCCCGAGCCUUUGGGUAAAUACUUAUUCCUUCUAUUGAGCGCGGCUAUGGCUUUCUCAUGCAACUGUGCUUGUUCAUAAGUCUCUUCCAACGUUUUUGGAUGUGCGAUGUCCAAGAAGUGAAUCAACUCCUCUUUGAGCCCGUUAAUAUAACAUGCAAUGAAGUAUUCUUCAGUCAGAUGCGGAUUGUAGUAAAGUAAUUGGUACCUUAAUUCUUCAAACCUCUCUUGAUAUUUUUCGCAAGUUCCCGUGUGUUUCAAGUUGCUGAACUCUCGGAUCAGGUACCUUUCCCCUACGUGUGCAAAUCUCCGACACACUGCUUCGGUAAAUUCGUCCCAAGAAACCAUCUGUUUAUUGAUGAAAUACCCUUGCUUCCAUGUCUUCGCUUUGCCGCUCAGAUGCAUCGUUGCUACACUUAACCAUUGAUGUUGAGGUAUUUGAUAUAGCUCGAAGUAUUGUUCGCAAUUUUCGAUCCAACUUCUGGGAUCUUCCCCAUCGAAUGACGGAAAAUCUAAGCGAGGGUAUGGUAAAUGCUGGUGAUGAUUGAAACUUCGAUGACCCCACGGAUAAGUGUGCUCUUCCUCCAUCUCAAGUGGUUUGCUUGGCGUUGGUAGAAUGCCUUUGCCCUUCUCUUCUCUGAUCAUAAAUGGUGUGCUACUACUUCCCGGCUUGAACUUGCGUUCGGAUGAGGGCCCAUCGCCUUGAGUCUUGAGUGUAGGUGGCUGGACGGAUAUAAGCUUCAGCAGCUCCUCAUGUCUCCUGGCGGCCUCCGCUUGCAGCAACUCGAACUGUUUCUGCCCUGUAUCCCUUACUUCGGCUAUCUGUUGGGUAAGUACCUCUAUAUUAACUUGUUGCUCCGUUCCCAACUUCUGGUACUUCUCUUCUAAAGAGUGAAUAUGAUCACUAAUAUCCCUUAGUCGGGUCCCUUCAGCCAUAUCUAUGUCUUCCAAAUAUUCUUUUGGAUUGAAUCGGAACUUGUUGCCUCGCUUGCCCCCAAUCUUGUCGUGCCUGUGGGAUAAUUUGAUCUGAGGAGUGUGGGGGAUUUCCUCUGAUCAAACGGUAACUUCAGAGUUAUGUGUGGUGAUUCCUUUUGUCCAAUUCUGACCGUAGUGCAGAAUCGGCAGCGCAGAAAUCUUACCCGCAGUUAAACUCAACAAUGCCUAGAUUGGAGUUAGGAAGCGAUUUCACCACACAGGGCCCUGGGGUCGGACCGCUCUGAUACCAAUUGUUACGUACCUGACUCUACGCAACCGGUCGAUGAUGAUAAUUCGCUGAGACGAGGAUGGCGUGGAGGAUGAUGGCCAAACAACUGGUAUCUCGACAACUACUCGUCCGAAUACUUGCGAUUAGGUAAAUGAUGAAAGGAAGAGAAGGGGUUAAGUGAGGAAGGAAAAGAAUGGAAGAGAGAGAGAGAGAGAAACGGAUAGUUGAAGAUUUGGAGGUGAAGAAGAAGGAGGAAGAAGAUGAUAAGAAGAGUCAAGAUUAACAAUUUCCAUAAAACCUAAUUAGGUUACAAUCUGCCUCUUUAUUCCCUAUACAAUGGACUAAAAUGCGAUUAAUAAAACUAAACAAUGCUAAAUGAGAAUUGAAUUAUGAAUCGGGCUGCUCAGCCUCCUCGUGGGUCGAAUUCGAUGGAACAUGGGCCUGCAAGGGAAACGACUUGGCCCAAUGACCUCUUGUUGCCGGAUAAGCGGGUUCCGGGUCCUUCUCCUCUCAAUCUCCACAAUCCGCCGGGUAUUGGGUUCGCCUUUUUUAUCCGCUCCAUCCUCCUCUAUCUCCGAUCCGAAGUUCCGCCCUGCUCCCAGUUUCUACGCCAUCACCUAUCCCUUCCUACUGUCGCCACUUCCCCCAUGGACUCCCCUGCUCCAUCCCGAUCACCAUGGCUGACCUGUUCAUGCUCCCCGGCUCCCUACAAGGAAAAGCUAAGCUCCCAUUAUCACUUCAUCUCUUCUCUUUUUAUUCUUUCCUAAUUACUCUGAUUACCCU